RNAcentral lists this long non-coding RNA (1430 nucleotides) under Parus major (Great Tit). RNAcentral describes it as "lncRNA (ENSPMJG00000012750.1)". Lineage: Eukaryota; Metazoa; Chordata; Aves; Passeriformes; Paridae. The record is from RNAcentral.
AAUUGCCAUAUCCCCAGCUGAUAGUUAGGCUGCCCAGGAUCCCAGUGUUAUAAACUCCCUAUUUUCUCUGGCCUCUUUCACAGAUGCAUCUUCAUAUACAGUGACAAUUGCAUCAGUGCCAUUACCUUUGGCUAGAAAAGCCUGAAAAGUGAAAUCAUUGGUAGCCAAAGGCAACAUAAUCAGCUGUCUUCGUUACUUAUAGAAUACAUGGGGUUUGUGUGUAGAGAAAUUGCGGAGGUGCAAAGGGCUGACUAAUGAAAGUGCAGAAGAGACUUGCACACAAGGCAUUUGCCUCAGGAUGAGGAAGUAUGGCAUUAUCUGAAUCACACUGCACUCAGAAAUCAUCCCUCCCUGCUAUUUGGUGUCCUUCAAGAAACGAAUCCCACCCACAAGGUAUUUAAUGGACUCUUGUAAGGGGCUUCAUUAACUGAGGCUUCAAGACAUCCAAAAUGCUUUGUGCAGGCCCAGAUGACAACCAACUCCAUGAAGAAAGAGAGCACAAAACUGACUCCUGGUACCUGCUUGACAAGAGUGUGAAUUCUUCACAUCAUUCCUCUCCUUUUAAGACUUAAAGUUAGGGACCAUUCUGACAUUUUGAUUCAUGUAAGAAAACUGCUAACUUGAACUCCAGAACCUGAAAGAAAGCCAGCAACCAUCUUGUCCAGGCUUGUUGCCUUUAUAGAACAUCUCUCAAUAUUUUAUAUUUCUGACUUAAUGCCAGAACUCCUUUCCCCUUCAAAACAGAACCAAAACAAGGUUCUUGUUUCAGUAAUAGCAAUGUGAGUUAGUCUGAAACUCUAAUCAUGUUGCCUUUCUGGGGAAAUCUUACUGAAAACUUAGGAGAUAAAUUGUCCAUUCUUUUAUAAAGCCUUGUAUUCAGAGCCAGUGAAUUGAGGCAGAGGGACAAUUGUGGCAAUUGACACAUGGAUCCUGAUUCUCAUUUAUUCAGUCCCCUUCUCAGUGCAGACUGGAAAAGCUCAGUUCUCAAGAUGAGCAGCUAAACCACUGGGCAUGCCCUGAGGGACACACCUGGAGCUCUUGAGAGUGACUGUGUGCAAUAACACCACCUAAUCUCUCUUGGAAAUGGACUCAACUCAAUCAGACCUUUCUGUGGCACACUUCUGGUCAGCAGACUGCUCCAGAACCUCCUUCAAGUACUUAAGCAUCUUCACCUAAUUUCCAGAGGAAAAAGAAAAUCUCUACAGUGAGCAUGUAACAAUUUCUUCCUGCCUUAGUUUGGUUUUUUAUUAAAAAAUUGCCUCCCCCAACUAUACCACUGACCCUGCUAUACUCAAUUUCUACAGCCAUGUUCCCUCUUAUGUGUCAGAAUGAGCAGAUUUAUGUUCUUGAGUUUCUGGAUUUAAAAUAAUCUGCAUGUCCAGAGCUGUACACAUGUGUGUCAUGGUGUGUUCUCACUUCUUACUGGUUCU